RNAcentral lists this ribosomal RNA (631 nucleotides) under uncultured bacterium. RNAcentral's name for it is "bacterial SSU rRNA". It matches the Rfam family "Bacterial small subunit ribosomal RNA", at positions 104 to 749 of the family's 1533-position model. The record is from RNAcentral.
GGGUGAGUAACGCGUAAGGAACUUGCCUCUUGGACUGGGACAACUGUUGGAAACGACAGCUAAUACCGGAUAUUAUGAGAUUCUCGCAUGAGAAACUUAUGAAAGCUAUAUGCGCCAAGAGAGAGCCUUGCGUUCCAUUAGCUAGUUGGUGGGGUAACGGCCCACCAAGGCGACGAUGGAUAGCCGGCCUGAGAGGGUGAACGGCCACAAGGGGACUGAGACACGGCCCUUACUCCUACGGGAGGCAGCAGUGGGGAAUAUUGGACAAUGGGCCACAAGCCUGAUCCAGCAAUUCUGUGUGCACGAUGAAGGUCUUCGGAUUGUAAAGUGCUUUCAGUUGGGAAGAAGAAAGUGACGGUACCAACAGAAGAAGCGACGGCUAAAUACGUGCCAGCAGCCGCGGUAAUACGUAUGUCGCAAGCGUUAUCCGGAUUUAUUGGGCGUAAAGCGCGUCUAGGCGGAAAAAUAAGUCUGAUGUUAAAAUGCGGGGCUCAACUCCGUAUUGCGUUGGAAACUGUUUUUCUAGAGUACUGGAGAGGUGGGCGGAACUACAAGUGUAGAGGUGAAAUUCGUAGAUAUUUGUAGGAAUGCCGAUGGAGAAGUCAGCUCACUGGACAGAUACUGACGCUGA